ACGGCGAGUGAAGCGGUAACAGCUCAAAUUUGAAAUCUGGCUCCUUCGGAGUCCGAGUUGUAAUUUGUAGAAGAUGCUUUGGGUUGUGGGCCCGGCCUAAGUUCCUUGGAACAGGACGUCAUAGAGGGUGAGAAUCCCGUAUGCGGCCAUGGCCCGCGCCUCUGUAAAGCUCUUUCGACGAGUCGAGUUGUUUGGGAAUGCAGCUCAAAAUGGGUGGUAAAUUUCAUCUAAAGCUAAAUAUGGGCCAGAGACCGAUAGCGCACAAGUAGAGUGAUCGAAAGAUGAAAAGCACUUUGGAAAGAGAGUUAAACAGUACGUGAAAUUGUUGAAAGGGAAGCGCUUGCAACCAGACUUGGGCGCUGCCGAUCACCCCGAGUUCUCUCGGGUGCACUCGACAGCGCACAGGCCAGCAUCGGUUCGGGUGGCUGGAGAAAGGCCGGAGGAAUGUAGCUCCCCUCGGGGAGUGUUAUAGCCUACGGCGCCAUGCAGCCCAGCCGGACCGAGGACCGCGCCUUCGGGCUAGGAUGCUGGCGUAAUGGUUGUAAGCGACCCGUCUUGAAACACGGACCAAGGAGUCUAACAUCUAUGCGAGUGUUUGGGCGUUAAACCCAUACGCGGAAUGAAAGUGAACGUAGGUGAGAACCCCCGUUGGGGGCGCAUCAUCGACCGAUCCUGAUGUCUUCGGAUGGAUUUGAGUAAGAGCAUAGC
RNAcentral lists this ribosomal RNA (708 nucleotides) under Pseudoidium sp. MUMH 4877. RNAcentral's name for it is "eukaryotic LSU rRNA". It matches the Rfam family "Eukaryotic large subunit ribosomal RNA", at positions 86 to 806 of the family's 3401-position model. Lineage: Eukaryota; Fungi; Ascomycota; Leotiomycetes; Helotiales; Erysiphaceae. The record is from RNAcentral.